This 498-nucleotide ribosomal RNA is filed under the name uncultured bacterium. RNAcentral's name for it is "partial 16S ribosomal RNA". It matches the Rfam family "Bacterial small subunit ribosomal RNA", at positions 30 to 523 of the family's 1533-position model. The record is from RNAcentral.
AUUGAACGCUGGCGGCAUGCCUUACACAUGCAAGUCGAACGGUAACAGGUCUUCGGAUGCUGACGAGUGGCGAACGGGUGAGUAAUACAUCGGAACGUGCCUAGUAGUGGGGGAUAACUACUCGAAAGAGUGGCUAAUACCGCAUGAGAUCUACGGAUGAAAGCAGGGGAUCGCAAGACCUUGUGCUACUAGAGCGGCCGAUGGCAGAUUAGGUAGUUGGUGGGAUAAAAGCUUACCAAGCCGACGAUCUGUAGCUGGUCUGAGAGGACGAUCAGCCACACUGGGACUGAGACACGGCCCAGAAUCCUACGGGAGGCAGCAGUGGGGAAUUUUGGACAAUGGGCGAAAGCCUGAUCCAGCAAUGCCGCGUGCAGGAUGAAGGCCUUCGGGUUGUAAACUGCUUUUGUACGGAACGAAAAGCCCCGGGUUAAUACCCUGGGGUCAUGACGGUACCGUAAGAAUAAGCACCGGCUAACUACGUGCCAGCAGCCGCGGUAA